This 976-nucleotide long non-coding RNA is filed under the name Jatropha curcas. RNAcentral's name for it is "long non-coding RNA (JCUR_LNC000972)". The record is from RNAcentral. Lineage: Eukaryota; Viridiplantae; Streptophyta; Magnoliopsida; Malpighiales; Euphorbiaceae.
CUCUAACGUAAAGCCCUCCGAUUUCGUCUUGCAGAAGAAAAGUCAGUGCAGAGACAUCAGAAUGGCGACCUACGCCUAUUGUGAGGUUCGGAUUUGGACAUCUUGGAUAGUAGUUUAGGUUAAUUCUUUUCGAACCCAUUAGUAAAGAUUCUUUCUUUUCAUCUAUUUCUUUCACGUUCAAUCUCUCCAUUAAAACACCCAUUAGCUUCUUGCAGAGGAUUUCUGAUCUUUUCAUGUAUUCCAAGCAUUCAUCCCUAUACCAGAAAAUCAACAAUUAGUAUUAGUUUGUUAGUAAUUUUGUUCGAAGCAUAAGCUGACUCAAGAAAAGAAGAAUAAAUAAAUAAAGCAGAGUUCAGUUGAGUUUAAAAAUAAUUACUUGCAAGCAGAAGGCCACAAAGCAGAAGCUUCAUCUUCAGAGACAUAAAAAAGGCUAAGAUAAUCUUUCCAUUCAAGUGCCUUCUCAGCAUCAGGACUAAAGCUUGUACCGAACCUGACAUUAUUAGUAGAUGAAAGCUCCUUAGAGUAAUUCCUCUUAACUUCAGCUGGUAGCCCAAAGAAACGAUGUGUCGCAUCCUUAACACCGUCAAGAACCUCAAGUGGGACUCCAUGGUUAACCAAUUGGAAGAACCCAUACUUCUCUGCAGCAUCACAAAUGGACUCAGCAACUUUAGGGUCACUAUCCCAAUUGGACAUGUCAAUAACAGGAAUUGAUUCAUGAGGUAUGAUAUUAAUCAACGCUUCUUGGGGUUGAAUAUAUUGCUUCGGAAGGCUUUUGAGACCCAAAUCUGAAAGACCCUUCACUCCAUUUCCUUUGUUAAUCACAAAAUCAGUNNNNNNNNNNNNNNNNNGUUCGGAUUUGGACAUCUUGGAUAGUAGUUUAGGUUAAUUCUUUUCGAACCCAUUAGUAAAGAUUCUUUCUUUUCAUCUAUUUCUUUCACGUUCAAUCUCUCCAUUAAAACACCCAUUAGCUUCUUGC